AUAUCAAUAAGCGGAGGAAAAGAAACCAACAGGGAUUGCCUUAGUAACGGCGAGUGAAGCGGCAACAGCUCAAAUUUGAAAUCUGCCUCUAGGCCGAGUUGUAAUUUAUAGAAGAUGCUUCGGGUGUGGCACCGGUCUAAGUUCCUUGGAACAGGGCGUCAUAGAGGGUGAGAAUCCCGUACGUGACCGGCCGUCAAUCCCAUGUGAGAUCCCUUCGAAGAGUCGAGUUGUUUGGGAAUGCAGCUCAAAUCGGGUGGUAAAUUUCAUCUAAAGCUAAAUAUUGGCCAGAGACCGAUAGCGCACAAGUA
Molecule: ribosomal RNA, 308 nt
Filed under: uncultured Helotiales
Lineage: Eukaryota; Fungi; Ascomycota; Leotiomycetes; Helotiales
Description: partial large subunit ribosomal RNA
Rfam family: Eukaryotic large subunit ribosomal RNA
Source: RNAcentral